RNAcentral lists this ribosomal RNA (491 nucleotides) under uncultured bacterium. Its description in RNAcentral is "bacterial SSU rRNA". It matches the Rfam family "Bacterial small subunit ribosomal RNA", at positions 420 to 924 of the family's 1533-position model. The record is from RNAcentral.
GGGUUGGAAACCUCUUUUUUAGGGAGGAAUAAAAUGACGUGUACCGGAAGAAGAAGCAUCGGCAAAAUCCGGGCCAGCAGCCGCGGUAAGACGGAGGAUGCAAGUGUUAUCCGGAAUCACUGGGCGUAAAGCUCCUGUCGGUGGUUUAAUAAGUCAACUGUUAAAUCUUGAGGCUCAACUUCAAAAUCGCAGUCCAAACUAUUAGACUAGAGUAUAGUAUAGGUAAAGGGAAUUUCCAGUGGAGCGGUGAAAUGCGUAAAUAUUGAAAAGAACACCGAUGGCGAAAGCACUUUACUGGGCUAUUACUAACACUCAUAGACAAAAGCUAGGGUAGCAAAUGGGAUUAGAUACCCCAGUAGUCCUAGCCGUAAACUAUGGAUACUAGAUGUUGAACAGAUCGACCUGUGGAGUAUCAAAGCUAACGCGUUAAGUAUCCCGCCUGGGAAGUAUGCUCGGAAGAGUGAAACUCAAAGGAAUUGACGGGGAGGAUU